This is a small nucleolar RNA of Malania oleifera, 106 nucleotides long. Lineage: Eukaryota; Viridiplantae; Streptophyta; Magnoliopsida; Santalales; Ximeniaceae. The record is from RefSeq and is a predicted model, not a curated record.
ACCUGAUGAUGUGGGUAUUGACGAAGUAGGUUCCUGAAAUGUUCCUAGGUUUCAAGGAAAAGUUCCCCAUCCGUUUGUGUAAAACUUGUGAUUGCCCUUUGCAGCU